UUUGACAAAUUUGACAAAUCCUUUUCCUCAUGGUCGGUCAUUUGGACCGAGCAUAGAACAUUUUGUGUGUUUAUUUUCACACAAUUUAGGUAAAAUUUCGGCCUGAUUUUGCAUACUUUAACACAUAGAGUAUUUUCAGAGUAGCCCUAAUUAAUAGUCACGCUAAUUACCACUCAAGAGCUGUAGCUUGAAAUACGUGUCUUUUGAGGUUAUAUUGGAAAGUUAACAUAUUGUUUUCAACAUGUCCAGGACAAUGUCCCGCAGGAGAGGCGAAAUCGAGGAGACCGACAAGCUCACUCGUAUUGCAAUCGUCAAUGCCGACAAGUGCAAACCCAAACGAUGCCGGCAAGAAUGCAAAAAGUCUUGUCCUGUUGUUCGUAUGGGCAAGCUUUGCAUUGAAGUAAGCCCUAACAGCAAAAUUGCUGUUAUAUCUGAAGAACUGUGUAUUGGUUGUGGUAUUUGUGUGAAGAAAUGCCCAUUUGAUGCCAUCAACAUCAUCAACCUUCCCAGCAACUUACUGCGUGAGACCACUCACCGUUAUGGCAAGAACUCGUUUAAACUCCAUCGUCUCCCCAUUCCCCGUCCGGGCGAAGUUCUUGGGCUAGUCGGGACUAAUGGGAUCGGCAAAUCCACUGCUUUGAAAAUUUUGGCUGGCAAGCAGAAGCCAAAUUUGGGGAGAUACAUGGAACCUCCAGACUGGACGGAAAUUCUAAGCCACUUCAGGGGAAGUGAGUUGCAAAACUAUUUUACAAAAAUUCUCGAAGAUGACUUGAAGGCGCUGAUCAAGCCGCAGUAUGUGGACCAAAUUCCCAAGGCCGUAAAAGGCACUGUGGGGCUAUUGCUAGAUAAGAAGGAUGAGCUGAAAAAUCAGGAUAUUAUUUGCGGCAUGCUUGAUCUGAAACACAUUAAAGAACGAGAAAUCAGUGCGUUAUCUGGUGGUGAGCUUCAAAGAUUCGCCUGUGCCAUGGUGUGCAUUCAAGAUGGAGAUAUUUUCAUGUUCGAUGAACCUUCCUCCUACUUGGACGUGAAACAACGUUUGAAUGCCGCUAAAACUAUCCGAUCCCUACUUAGUCCCGAUAAAUUUAUAAUUGUCGUUGAGCACGAUUUGAGCGUACUGGAUUAUCUAUCAGAUUUUAUUUGUUGCCUUUAUGGUGUUCCUGGUGCCUAUGGUGUAGUUACAAUGCCUUUCUCUGUUCGUGAAGGUAUUAACAUCUUUUUGGAUGGGUUUGUUCCCACCGAAAAUCUGCGUUUCCGCGAUGAAUCGCUGGUAUUCAAAGUGGCUGAAUCCGCCACUGAAGAAGAGGUGAAGCGAAUGAAUCAUUACGAAUAUCCGACCAUGUCGAAAACUAUGGGCAACUUCAAGUUGGCGGUGAAAAAGGGACAGUUUUCCGACUCGGAAAUUUUGGUGCUAUUAGGUGAAAAUGGUACAGGAAAGACCACAUUCAUUCGAAUGUUGGCCGGUAACUUGGAACCCGAUACGGGAUCAGGGACUUUGCCUCAGCUGCACAUCAGUUACAAGCCGCAGAAAAUCAGCCCCAGGUCCCACGGAUUAGUCCGGCAAUUGCUGCAUGAAAAAAUUAGGGACGCCUACAUUCACCCACAAUUCAUCGCUGAUGUGAUGAAGCCACUGAAAAUCGAAGACAUCAUCGACCAAGAGGUUCAGAAUCUCUCUGGAGGAGAACUGCAAAGAGUUGCAAUGACUCUUUGCUUGGGCAAACCUGCCGAUGUCUAUCUUAUCGACGAGCCCAGUGCUUAUCUCGAUUCCGAGCAGCGUUUGGUCGCAGCCAAAGUAAUUAAAAGAUUUAUUUUGCACGCCAAGAAGACCGGAUUUGUAGUAGAGCACGAUUUCAUCAUGGCAACUUAUCUUGCGGAUCGGGUAAUUGUCUUCGAAGGCCAACCAUCGGUAGACACAACUGCUAAUUCACCGCAAACCCUGCUGGCAGGCAUGAACAGGUUCUUGGAGCUGCUGGGAAUCACUUUCCGAAGAGAUCCGAACAAUUUUAGGCCUCGAAUUAACAAGCAAGAGUCGGUCAAGGAUGUGGAACAGAAGAGAGCUGGUCAGUAUUUCUUUUUGGAAGACUAACUUUCUUUGAGCUGGCAAAUUUUGGUUGUUUUCUUGUUAGAUUAUAGGGCAUAAAUCUUGUAAGACAACAAUAAAAAUGGCAAUUUUUCUGCUUAUUUAAACACCCAACUUGUGCUGUACAAUGUAAUAAGAAUCAACCAGGUGUGUGUGACAAUUUUGGGUUUAUCCAAAAAGUUUGGCAAAAAGAUCAAUAAUUACGAACGCAAAUGUUUUAUUUAUUGCGAAGCUGUACUGCUAAUUGUGCGGCGAAUUUAUCAACAAACGGUCACAAAUAAAAAAAUUGUUGUAAUGAA
Molecule: unclassified non-coding RNA, 2376 nt
Filed under: Dendroctonus ponderosae (mountain pine beetle)
Lineage: Eukaryota; Metazoa; Arthropoda; Insecta; Coleoptera; Curculionidae
Description: protein Pixie, transcript variant X1
Source: RNAcentral